GAUGAACGCUGGCGGCGUGCCUAAUACAUGCAAGUAGAACGCUGAAGGAGGAGCUUGCUCUUCUGGAUGAGUUGCGAACGGGUGAGUAACGCGUAGGUAACCUGCCUGGUAGCGGGGGAUAACUAUUGGAAACGAUAGCUAAUACCGCAUGACAACAGUUAUUGCAUGAUAACUGUUUAAAAGGGGCAACUGCUCCACUACCAGAUGGACCUGCGUUGUAUUAGCUAGUUGGUGAUGUAACGGCACAACAAGGCGACGAUUCAUAGCCGACCUGGGAGGGGGGUCGGCCACACUGGGACUGAGACACGGCCCAGACUCCUACGGGAGGCAGCAGUAGGGAAACUUCGGCAAUGGACGGAAGUCUGACCGGGCAACGCCGCGUGAGGGAAGAAGGGUUUCGGAUCGUAAAGCUCUGUUGUAAGAGAAGAACGAGUGUGAGAGUGGAAAGUUCACACUGUGACGGUAUCUUACCAGAAAGGGACGGCUAACUACGUG
This 495-nucleotide ribosomal RNA is filed under the name uncultured bacterium. RNAcentral describes it as "partial 16S ribosomal RNA". It matches the Rfam family "Bacterial small subunit ribosomal RNA", at positions 28 to 507 of the family's 1533-position model. The record is from RNAcentral.